This 350-nucleotide unclassified non-coding RNA is filed under the name plant metagenome. Its description in RNAcentral is "partial contains 5.8S ribosomal RNA, internal transcribed spacer 2, and large subunit ribosomal RNA". The stretch from base 1 to 105 matches the Rfam family "5.8S ribosomal RNA", at positions 50 to 154 of the family's 154-position model. The record is from RNAcentral.
GAAAUGCGAUAAGUAAUGUGAAUUGCAGAAUUCAGUGAAUCAUCGAAUCUUUGAACGCACCUUGCGCUCCUUGGUAUUCCGAGGAGCAUGCCUGUUUGAGUGUCAUGGAAUUCUCAACUCUAUUUGCUUUUGUGAAUAGAGCUUGGAUUUGGAGGUUUAUUGCUGGUACUUGUGAUCGGCUCCUCUUGAAUGCAUUAGCUCGAACCUUUGCGGAUCAGCUAUCGGUGUGAUAAUUGUCUACGCCGUUGCAGUGAAGCAUAUCAAUGGGCUCGGCUUCCAAUCGUCCUUUACUGGACAAUGACUUUGACCUUUGACCUCAAAUCAGGUAGGAUUACCUGCUGAACUUAAGC